This 472-nucleotide ribosomal RNA is filed under the name uncultured bacterium. RNAcentral's name for it is "partial 16S ribosomal RNA". It matches the Rfam family "Bacterial small subunit ribosomal RNA", at positions 28 to 507 of the family's 1533-position model. The record is from RNAcentral.
GACGAACGCUGGCGACGUGCUUAACACAUGCAAGUCGAACGCUGAAGCCUGGUGCUUGCACUGGGCGGAUGAGGGGCGAACGUGUGAGUAAUACGUGAGUCACCUGCUCUUGACUCUGGGAUAAUCCUGGGAAACUGGGUCUAAUACUGGAUACGACAUGCCACUGCAGGGUGGUGUGUGGAAAGGGGUUUACUGGUUUUGGAUGGGCUCACGGCCUAUCAGCUUGUUGGGGGGGUAGUGGCCUACCAAGGCGACGGCGGGUAGCCGGCCUGAGAGGGUGACCGGCCACACUGGGACUGAGACACGGCCCAGACUCCUACGGGAGGCAGCAGUGGGGAAUAUUGCACAAUGGGCGGAAGCCUGAUGCAGCGACGCCGCGUGAGGGAUGACGGCCUUCGGGUUGUAAACCUCUUUCAGCACGGAAGAAGCGAGAGUGACGGUACGUGCAGAAGAAGCGCCGGCUAACUACGUG